Molecule: ribosomal RNA, 440 nt
Filed under: uncultured bacterium
Lineage: Bacteria
Description: partial 16S ribosomal RNA
Rfam family: Bacterial small subunit ribosomal RNA
Source: RNAcentral
CCUACGGGUGGCAGCAGUGGGGCAUAUUGCACAAUGGGGGAAACCCUGAUGCAGCGACGCCGCGUGAGUGAAGACGUAAUUCGUUAUGUAAAGCUCUAUCAGCCGGGAAGAAAAUGACGGUACCUGAGUAAGCAGCCCCGGCUAACUACGUGCCACCAGCCGCGGUACUACGUAGGGGGCAAGCGUUCUCCGGAUUUACUGGGUGUAAAGGGAGCGUAGACGGCAGUGCAAGUCUGGAGUGAAAGGCUGGGGGUCAACCCCCGGACUGCGCUGGAAACUGUACGGCUGGAGUGCAGGAGAGGUAAGUGGAAUUCCUAGGGUAGCGGUGAAAUGCGUAGAUAUUAGGAGGAACACCAGUGGCGAAGGCAGCUUACUGGACUGAAACUGACGUUGAGGCUCGAAAGCGUGGGGAGCAAACAGGAUUAGAUAGCCGGGUAGUC